Molecule: ribosomal RNA, 253 nt
Filed under: uncultured bacterium
Lineage: Bacteria
Description: partial 16S ribosomal RNA
Rfam family: Bacterial small subunit ribosomal RNA
Source: RNAcentral
UACGUAGGGGGCAAGCGUUGUCCGGAAUCAUUGGGCGUAAAGCGCGCGUAGGCGGCCCGGUAAGUCCGUUGUGAAAGUCAAAGGCUCAACCUUUGAACGCCGAUGGAUACUGCCGGGCUAGAGUCCGGAAGAGGCGAGUGGAAUUCCUGGUGUAGCGGUGGAAUGCGCAGAUAUCGGGAGGAACACCGAUGGCGAAGGCAGCUCGCUGGGACGGUACUGACGCUGAGGCGCGAAAGCGUGGGGAGCGAACAGG